CCGGGGCCGCAGGGAGAAGACUGGGCGGCUGUAUUGACUGCCGGGUGUAGGCGGAGCGAAGGGCGCCCAGGCCGGUGCGGAGGGCAGGAAGUGCGGAUGUGCGCCUGCGCAUAGGUCGGGUCGGAGGUGUCCCUGCUUUCGCUUCUGCUAGACUCAGUCCUCACGGUGACGCCUUUCCCCAGCUUUUCCGAAUGGAGUCUUGCUGUGCUGCCCAGGCUGGAGUGCAGUGGCAUGAUCUCAGCUCACUGCAUCCUCCACCUCCCGGGUUCAAGUGAUUCUCCUGCCUCAGCCUCCGGAGUGGCUGGAAUUAGAGGUAAUCAAGUAAAAAGUAUGAGCCUCAUCUGUGGAUUGCAGUCUGCUGUUAGAAACCAUGUUUUCUUCCGGUUUAACUCACUGGCUAACUGGAGAAAAUGUAACACGUUAGCAUCAACCUCACAGGGCUGUCAUCAAGUACGAGUUCACCAUAUAGUAAAUAAGUCUCAGGGACUGGGAGUAAAUCAGUGUGAUAGGUGGACUUUUCUGCCUGGAAACUUUCAUUUUUAUAGGACUUUUAACAACAAAAAAACAGGAUGUCUCUCAAGUACCAAAAGUAAGGAAAUUUGGAUGAAUGCCAGCAAAUAUACUGUAUGGAAGGACUCUUUUUCAAGGCAGCUAUUAAUAAAAAAAGUUACAGCAGUUCCUAGUCUGUUAGUAUUGCAUCCUCUAAGCCCUUCUCCUCUAAGAGCUGUUAGGAAUUUCCACACCUCUCCACGGUUUCAAGCUGCUCCAGUUCCUCUCUUGUUGAUGAUUCUUAAACCAUUGCAGAAGUUACUUGCAAUCAUUGUAGGCAGGGGCAUAAGGAAAUGGUGGCAGGCACUUCCUCCUAACAAGAAGGAACUAUUUAAAGAUAGUAUAAGGAAGAAUAAAUGGAAGCUAGUCCUUGGUUUGAGUAGUUUUGGAUUGCUCUUUAUGGUGUUUUAUUUUACUCACCUGGAAGUAAGUCCAAUCACAGGAAGAAGCAAGCUGCUAUUAUUGGGGAAAGAGCAGUUCAGACUUCUAUCAGAACUGGAAUAUGAAGCAUGGAUGGAAGAAUUUAAAAAUCAUAUGCUGACUGAGAAAGAUGCCCGAUACCUGGCUGUUAAAGAAGUGCUUUGUCAUCUAAUCGAAUCCAAUAAAGAUGUUCCAGGGAUCUCUCAGAUCAAUUGGACUGUUCAUGUGGUUGAUUCCCCAGUUAUUAAUGCCUUUGUGCUUCCAAAUGGACAAAUGUUUGUUUUCACUGGAUUUUUAAAUAGUGUAACCGAUAUUCAUCAACUUUCUUUCCUUCUGGGCCAUGAAAUAGCACAUGCAGUACUUGGGCAUGCCGCAGAAAAGGCUGGCAUGGUUCAUUUAUUGGACUUCCUAGGUAUGAUUUUCCUCACAAUGAUUUGGGCCAUUUGUCCUCGAGAUAGUUUGGCCCUUUUGGGCCAGUGGAUACAGUCUAAAUUGCAAGAGUAUAUGUUUAAUAGACCAUACAGCAGAAAAUUGGAGGCUGAAGCUGACAAAAUUGGACUAUUGCUUGCUGCAAAGGCUUGUGUGGACAUAAGAGCUAGUUCAGUGUUUUGGCAGCAAAUGGAGUUUGUCGAUAGCCUGCAUGGCCAACCCAAGAUGCCAGAAUGGUUAUCUACACACCCUUCUCAUGGCAAUCGAGUUGAGCACUUGGAUAGACUUAUACCUCAGUCUUUCGCAGAUGUUCCCUGUUGAUGUCAAGAUGGCUGCUGGUGCUCCCAGGAUUGCAUGUUUUCACAUCCAGCUGGAUGAGUGACUGACUCACACCCCAACUAUUGAAACAAAGCCUUUUACACUAACUGCACCCCUGAAGCAAUCACCAUGGCAGGGGAUGGCAUUAUUUUGAUUGGCUUGGACCUAUCCAGAUCCAACCCUGGAGCUGAGGAUGGGUACGACUCAACACCACCCAAACAGAAUGGCUACUCCAUGGUGGGAGAGAUGCAACCACAGGGCUUAUGAAAUAGAGGAUGCAUGAAUGAAAGAAGGUCCACCAGGAAGAAUGUGUCUGCUUCCUCUCUGCUCAUACGCAGUGUAACGGCCAUGGAGGGGCAUCACUCAGAUCACUCCUCAAGAGAACCCUCUGUGGCGUGCAUAACUGACAAAUGCUCCAGUUGCCACACCUUCAUAUCCACAGUAACUGGGCGAAGAGUUGGGCAUUAUCCUCACAACUUGGAGAGUUCGGCAUUAUCACUGCUUUUCGCAGAUAAGGAAACUAAGGGUCAGCAAAUUUGUAUCUGCAUCAAACAAGGCAAGCUGCGGACCUGCUGAGGCCACUCACUCAGGUAUUCAUAUAUUCAUUCACUCAACAACACCUGCAUUCCAGGCACUGCUACGCCAGGUACUGGGAUACAGUGAUGAAUGGCUCAGACUGAGACCCACCCCAAGGAGCACCCCAGCUAGUGAGGGCUCAGAUGCACAAGCACCGCUACCCUUACAGUCACAGACUGGUUCUGUGACAGGUGCUGGUCAACGGGGCUGUGGUGGCACAAGGAAGAAAAACAUCACCAGUGCUGAAUGUUAAGGCUUCCUGGAAGAAUGACCUCCAGAUGAAACCCAGGUGAAGGUAGGUGGAGGGAAGACAGGAGGGUGUUUGGCAGGGGAGGAGGAUUAUCCCUUUCAUGAAAGAGCAUCCUUUCUGAGACCUGAUGAAAGAGCACAGUGUCAGGGCUUCCCGUGACAGCCAAUAGUGCAUUCUCUCAGAGUAUCCCAUUCAUCUGCCUUCCAGGCUCCAAGUCCUUGUCUUCAGGGACCACCCCUGGGCCCCCACAUUGCUUCCACACAGACCUACCCACCCCAUCUGUAUUAGUCCAGGUCCUCUGAGAAAGCAGAAACAAGACAGGAUUAAACAUGCAAGAAAUCUGUUGGAGGAAAUGCUUGUGGGAAAAAAUGAAGAGGCCAGGGGAGGCUGGAAAAGCCACAAGUUCACAACGCAGGCCUGACUCCCUGUGAAGGAGCAAAGGAGGGGAGGGAGGGAUGAGGGAAGCGUUUUUAGACAAUCCUAAGGAAACUUUGACAAGGCUGGGAGUCCUGGAGCCAUGGUUGCCCAAGAGAGGAGUCCCAAGUCUCCAGGAAGGGCCCUUCCUCAGCAUCCCUGCCCUGCUCCUCCAUUGGCUGGGGGUGGCCAGGGGUAGUCAGGAUGCAGUUUGUGCUGGAUUUUGGAAAGCAGUUGUGGGGACCACUGGGCAGUCAUGCUCCCUGAAGCUUGGUAUCUGAGAGGAAUAUUCUCCAUGGCCAACAUACUGCCCUAGGUUUGAUAUACCCCCAAAUCUGGCUUCAGCUUCAGCCCCUCUUCCUGGAUUCUGCCAAGAGAAACAGUCCUGAGCAAAGAUGGCAUUGGGCAGUGAUGAAGGGCACAGCUUCACAGCAGCCCCCAUUUCUGCCACUGACCAUGGGUGCUGCAGGUAAGGCAUUGAGCCCCCCCAGUUUCCUUGUGGGAAAGUGUGGAUAAUAACAGUUCCUGUCUCCUAAGGUUGUUACAGAAGUACUUGAAUUAAAAUGCAUGGUAAGUGCCCAAUAAAUGAUAUCUAUUAUUAUUUUAAUGGAUCCAUUUUUGAUUUAGGGACCAUUUCAAUGCAUUGGUUUGAUGGGGCUACAUCAGAAUGUGAAAGCCUUGCAUUCCCACCACUGCUGUGUGCCAGAUAUACCUGCAUCUCACUCUCCUGAAUGCUUCACCAUCUUUCCAUGAAGCUGCUCCUGACCUUGAGGUUUGGUUUUGGGUCCUCCUCUGAACCUGUAGCUUCCUUUUCCCACAGAACUUUUUACAAUGAUUAGUUGCAUGUUUUGUUGUUGUUUUCAUUUCUUGAAAUAAACUGAGAAUUCCUGUUGGGGUGAGGACGAUGUCCUAUUUCCUGCCACAUCAUCAGUGCCUACAUGUUGGCUGACUCCUGCCCUAGCCAGGCUCAAACCCAGGGCUUCUCUCUAGGGUCAUGCAGGGUGCUUGUCUGAGAGGAGAGGAGGGCUGCAGUCCACCUUGUGGCAGGGGCCCAGUGGUGUGCUCAGGGGCUGUGCCUGCCUGAAGUUUCCAUUCAUACAGCAUUGCUUAAAGCUUGUCAUAUGAGCCUCUGAUAGACUGCAUCUGUCCAGAGGAAGGGCCUUUUCUUAUUUGAGAAAGAUACUAUAUUGGUUAACAACAGCUCUGCCAAUAAGCCAGGCCGAGAAUGUGUGCAAAAGCACCAGCACGAUGUCUCACACUGUGUCAGCUACUCCUGCAAACUUCUGGAAAGGCUUUGAUGAGCAUUUCUGAGUGUUUCUGCCUUAGCAAUAUGAUGGGUUAGAUUCAAUCACAGUCUCAUACUGUGGCUUGAUCUCAGCUCACUGCAACCUCCACCUCCCGAGUUCAAGUGAUUCUCCUGCCUCAGCCUCCCAAGUAGCUGGGACUACAGGCACCCACCACAACGCCUGGAUAAUUUUUGUAUUUUUAGUAGAGACCAGGUUUCACCAUAUUGGUCAGGCUGGUCUCAAACUCCUGACCUUGUGAUCUGCCCACCUUGGCCUCCCAAAGUGCUGGGAUUACAGGCAUGAGCCACCACGCCCAGCGUUAGAUUCAUGUUUCUAAGCUCCUCUCCUGCCCUGACAUUCAGUGAUUAGAGGAAGCCUGGUGUUCGAAAAGCGCUGAGGUGUGAGGAUGAGGACUGCCCUAAAUGGAGUUCAGAAUGGUCGCAUCCUCUCCUGGGCUAUAGUUAGCCUUGCCCAUCACCCUUGUCAGCUCUUGCCUCCUCCUCCAAGGAGCCUGCCUGAGCAAGCCCACAUCCAUUGUAUUUGCUUUGUACUUUAUAUUUUAUUAGGUGACUUUGAUAUGUUACUUCCUUUAAUUCUCAAGCAACCUAGUGCUAGGUCUUGGUGUUAUAUUGGUGUUAUAUCUGAUAGAUGAGGGAAAAGGAACUCAGAGAAGUUAAGUAACAUUCACAAGGCCACACAGCUAGUACAAGGGCCAAGUUCAGGCUUGAACACAAAUCUAGGCAGAAGAAUUCCUACCCACCUUAUUUAUGCUGCUUAUAAUGUUUCUCUGCAUUGCAUAUUUCUGGCCCCAUUUAGAAUAUGAAAACCUCAAGGACAAGGGACAUGAUUCUGCUUCAUUCCAUUCUCUCCUGAACGCAUCAUGCACAUGGUAAGCGCUGUCUAAAUGCUGUCUGAGUAACAGUGGAAAUCCUUGAGAUGCAAUCGCGUCAUAUGUCAAGCCCUGGUAAGGACCUGUACAAACACAGACCUCAGCGUAUGCAUGACAAUACACACAUUGAUGUCUUCCAUGCAUACACAUGGUGCAGCUGGUAUGAUACCUUUAAGAAAACAUCUCUAAUUAAACAACAAAAAUGUUAUUCUGCCUGUGCCUGCUUAGCAACUGUGGUUUGGUGGCCAGAGCAUUUGCUUCCACAUUUCUGCAGUGUGCUCUUCCCUGCUGGUCAACUCUCCUCCUCACAGCCCAGGCUCUGCACCUCCUGUCAUUUAGUAUCUGGUCUUCCUUGACCCCUCUGGCUGGAUGCAGGAUCCAUUUGCUUGGACCUGUGAGCUCAGCUUCCCUCAUGCAAACCUUCCCGUCUCUUCCUAGCUUUGGGUCAUUCACCCACAGUCUUGGAGACCCAGCUCCACAGAUGGUCCCAGUGGACAGCCCCACAGCUUGUCUCAGAUUCUCAGGCUCUACUGAAACACAUCGCAAGGAUGUGUACAGACUCAUAUACCUGUGAAGCCAGGGACUUAUACACAUGGGUCCACGUGGCCAUCCAGGUAUGUACAUAUCCACCAGACCAAGUGCAGAGACACAGUUGAACAUUUUUGCCCAUGGAGGCAGAACCAGUGUCCACAUGCAAACCCAUUUAUGCAUGCAGGAAUGUGCCCAGGUCAUAGAUACAUGUACACACAUACUCAAGUAUGCAUACAACCUUAUGCAUAUAAGACUCAGUAUGUGAGUGUACAUCCCCUUAGAAUAUGGAUACCAGUGUAGGCAAACACCAUAUGCCUUGAACAUGAAGAUUUACACACAGCCAUGCAAGGGCCAAAAAGGCAUCCUUAGCCUCCUUCUCCCCAGGGUGCCACACUCAAACAGAUUUCAUCACAGAUCACGGCCUUUCAAAGACACAGGUUCACACCUUCUCCUUGGAGCCAGCUCUUCCUUUGUCAAGUUGUCUGGCCCUAGGAAGGUGAUGGAGCUUAUAUCUGGGAGUCCCCAGGCACUCAUAUGACGACCUGUCACCUCUCCACUCAGCUACUCCUCUCACCAGGAACUCUCUGCUCUCAGUGGGGAAGGCACUAAGGCUCAAGGUAAUUAAAUCUCUCUCUUUUCGCUUCGGCAACAUUGAUCUGUUCAGGGCCACACUCUGACUCCGAAGGAACAAAGCUUUCAAUUUCUUGGCUGGAAUACACUGUUCUUAGACUUGUUUCAUAUGUGAGACAGGAGUGAAAAUUAGAGCAUACAUUCUCAUCUUCAGAGCAUGAUGUUGCUUAUGAGGCACUUUUUCACCAUUUCAUUUGAGUCUUACAAUCAUCCUAUGGGGUAGAUCGUACAUAAACUGCCCCCAUUUUACAGACAAGGAAAUUGAGGUUACAACAACAAGGGCAACAGUUGUCUCUGACUUCCUGUGAUGUGUCAGGCACUGUUUUAAGGCCGUACAUGUUUCAGUUUUUUCAGUCCUUACGAUAACACUCAGAGGUAUGUCUGUCUUCACCCCUACUUUACAGAGGAGGAAACUGAAGCACAUAAGGUCAUAUUAACAGCCUGAGAUUUUCCACUUAGGAAGCAGUCUAGCUAAGCCAUAUGCUGUUGAAGUUAAAGGGAUUUAAUGCGGGAUAUUUGUCUUCUGGGUGAAAAUCUAAAGCAGUGGCUCCCCGUAUUCCGACUACCGAUGACCACAUAUCUGAUUUUCUUACAUCAUUAACUCCACCCUUGAAAGAUUUCCUCCAAUACAAACACUGUAUUCAUUAAGAAAUAACCUGUAUUGUGCCAUUUUAAUGAGACUUUUGAAGUUUUAAGAAUAGCUUGGGGGUACCCUGAACCUCUAAAAAUUGCUACUGGUUGAGAUGCCUUGGGAUUGAGGGUAUCCAGACUGACACCUGGAAUACAGAAAAGAAUUUAGUUAAGGUACCUUCUCAGAUCAACCCUGGUGCCAAUCCUGGCUCUACCAAUUAUCCCCUGGGUCCUUGGUAAGCAACAUCACCCCUCUCAGCCUCAGUUUGUUUGCCUGCAAUGUCAGAAGGAAAUAAUAGCACCCAGACUGUAAUGUUCAAGGGAUAGCAGCAUGAUUCUGGCUGUCCCACAAUUCCUUGGAGUGAGGAGAGAAAUAUUUGUAAUUGUCAGAAACAUGAUACAACUGGCAGAAGUAUAUGAAAUCAGUUACAUAGAUUGUGAACUACAUGUCAAAGUUCUAUUUGUCCUGAGACAGGGUGAAAAUCAGUGCAUUUCUCAUCAGGAUAGAAAAUAUAAACAGAAAAAAAUCAGAGCCUCUGGGAAUAAUUCAGCCACAGAGAGAGUUCACUCUUUGGGGUGCUCACAGAACUACCAUUGUUCAUCUCCACACUUGCUGGCUUUGCAUCCUUUGAGGUGUACCUUUCUGACCCUUUUUUAGCUGCUUAGUAGGUUAGUUGGGGUUGACUGUGGUUUUGUCCUUGGCUAUUGUGAUUAUGUGAAAACAGCUUCAGACAUAUUUUUUUCUUGCUUUCUCCUGGGCCAUUCCUGAGUUGCGCUGGCCCUCCAAAGCCUUCAUCCCUUCUGUGUCUCCAUCUUUGCUUUCUCCCUUCUAACUACCCUUUCCUUUUCCUUCCUUUUAAUACCUUCAAAAGAAUGAGAGCAAGUUUCAAUCACAUUAAAAGGAAAAACUAGACUCUAAGGCAGUGGUCUUCACUCGUUUUUGGUCAUAUUCCUCUACUGGCUGUAAAGAGUUUGAGCUUCUACUACCAAUGUAUCUAUAUGUCGUUAUUAACACAGUACAUAGUUAACUUCUGUACUAAUAUUUUAUUUCUAAAGCAUACAUAAGUGGACAUUUUUAAGAUGGAGAUUUUUUAAAGCAUGAGAUAAAAAUAGUAAUUUAAAAUUAUUAAUGAAAGAAAAAUGCUUGCUCAUACUAAAAUAUUAUGUUUUUGAAAACCUGCAUUCCACACUUUCUGAAACAAUUAUUUGAAAAUCUAGUCCCGAGUUCAAUGCAUACCAAAGGCUGAGUUUAGUUAUUGUCUUAGCUGUAAGAAACUAGUUUAUUCACAGAAAACGAGUUUCAUCACAGAAAGGGUGAGGAAACUGUGAACCGAUGUCUUUUUGAAAGACAAUUACCUUUUUUAUCUUUAUGUUGAGAUAACUCUUUUAAGUACCCAGUCAGCUGGGAUAACCAGUGAACCUCCAUCUGGUACAGAAGGUUUUCAUGAUUUCUUCUCAGUUCUAGUAUUUUAAAUAAUAUAAUCUGUAACUCUACUUAACUGGGCACAAGUCAACCCUAAUCAACCAUAAAAUGUUGAAAGCCAAACAUGGAGUGAGAUUGUCCUGAGUGACUCAUCUGCACUAUGGGGCACUUACACUUUCUCCAGGAUCUCUCACUAACAGUAGGUGAAAAAUACUGAGCAUUAAUUUUCAUCUGUAAAUUGCAUCUUGGUAAACCUUCAUAGUCUUUAAAUUUAAAUAUCUAAAUUGGAAGGCCAAUACAUUUUCGCCUGUAUCUUCCAUGAAUCAUUAUACACACUGUCUGGGUAGGUCAACAGAGUUUGGAGCUGGAGAACAAUGAGAUUCAGGACUACAGACAGCUACACACAUGCGUGGGAGGGGACCCCCUUUCUAAUAAUCUGGCUGUGACACCUAUCUGAUAAAAUAGUCAUGAGAAAUAAAUAAAAUGGCACAGUAAGUGUUCAAUAACUAUUCCUUUCUUCCUCUCCUUCUCACUAUUCAACCUGAUGCCAAGUGAAGGAAAGGAAACAGGAAUUCAGGACCAGAUAUUCUGGCCAGAAGUAAAAAAGAAUGUAAUUUUGGAAAUGUUUCUCAGUAGCUGUGUUUCUGGUGCUCACCUCUCCAAACACAACACCCCAAUUAGAAGAAAGGUUGUGUGGGUACUGAGUGUCAUAUCCUGUUAAAAUACCGAUCAUGCACCCUCCUUCCCUGCCCAGUCCCAUAUGUAUGCAUCUCUACCACAGAUAUGUCCUACUGGUGCAAAUUUCCUCAUCUGAUAGGGUUGGGCAUCUUAAUACCCUCUGGAUCUGACCCAGAGCUCCUGGAUAGUAAAAUGGUAUAUAUAUGCCUAGACUUUGUGCUUCAUCUCUGGUGGAUUCAUCCAUGCUCUCUGUUCAAAGGGAGCUCUGGGUACUUUUCCCAGUUCAUAUUUGUGGUAGUUUUAACAUAUGUUCACAAAUUCUUUGAUAUACUUCCGUUCAAGAUGUGGAGUGUAAAUUCUCUCUUAGACUAGGUUGAACUGGACUUUGUGACUUGGUUCUUUUUCUGAUUUUGAGACACAGUCACACUCUGCCACCAAGGCCGUAGUGCAGCGGCAUGAUCUCAGCUCACUGCCACCUCCACCUCCUGGGUUCAAGCAAUUCUCCUGCCUUAGCCUCUUGAAUAGCUGAGAUUACAGGCAUAUGCCACCAUGCCCGGCUUAUUUUUGUAGUCUUAGUAGAGAAGGGGUCUCGCCAUUUUGACCAGACUGGUCUCGAACUCCUGAGCUCAAGUGAUCCACCUGCCUUGGCCUCACAAAGUGCUGGGAUUAGAGGCAUGAACCACUGUACCCAGCCUGCAAACCAUAUUCUUUUAACCACUUUGUUAUCUGUAGCUUUGAUCCUGGUACCUUUCAGUUGCUUACAGAUUUUGGAGUAGAACAAACCUGGGUUCAAAUCCUGGCUCUAAAUUGACCAGCUGAUCACUGUUUACUUCCCUCUAAAACAGGGAAAACAACACCCAUCUCAAAAGGAUCUAUGAGGGGUAGAGGCAAGAAUAUACAGAAAGUGUCUGCCUGUCCCACUAGACCAUUGCUGUCUGAUAGAACAUUCUGUGACAAUGGAACUGUUUCCUAUCUAUCCAAUAUGGCAGCCACUAGCCACAUGUGGCUAAUUGAGCACUUGAAAUGUGGCUAGUACAAAUGAGAAACUGAAUUUUUAAUUAUAUGUAAUUUAGACCAAUUUGCAUUUACGAAGCCACCUGAAUCUUGUGACCACUGUAUUGGGUAGCACUAGACCCUAUGCUCUAGGAAGACAGGAGCCAUGCCUGUUUGGAUCACAUGGCAUAUUCAGCACUUAGUACAGUUCUUGACACAAAUGAGUUACUUGUAAUCAAUUGUUGAAUGAAUUAAUGUAUGAAUGAGUGAAUGGUCCAUCAUGGGCUUUCAAUGAAUAGCAUGUAUCAGCCAGGCAGAGCACUGAUGUGUAGCGGACUCUUCUUGCCUUUUCUCCCCACCAUUCCCCGUCAACAACAGCCAAUUAUGUUCUCCUGCAGAAAUGUCAUGUGAGCACCAGGAAUUGGACAGAGACUAAACUUCAGGUGACUGGGGAGACAGAGGGAAAUAAAAGAAGACCCCUACAUCUUUAAUGGGCCACAUAGGACAGGAUGACCCCACUCCCACUCCAAGACUGACUAGGAAGUUUGUCUGUAACAGAGACGGUUGAAUAAACGAUGAGACUCCAUGACAGCAAGGCCAGAGCAGCCCUAAAUGUCACCUUCGUUAUUUUUCAAGCCAACACGAUGAACUGCCUUCCCCAUUGGCUUCCAUGUUGUUAUUGCUCUGCCUCAGGGUUGAGGGAUUUUUUUUCCCUAAUCUCUACAACAUGUACUAUGUAAGUUCGGCAAGGGCAGGAGGUGAGAUGGCACAGGCCACUUAAUAAAGGGUUUGGCUGUCACGGAGAUGCAGCCAUUGGGCAGACAUGAGGAGGUGGCCAGCUGGGACUCCUCUGCUUAGUACCUACCUGAAAUAUGGUGCCUAUCUUUCCAGACUUGGGAGUGAGAGAGCAGUGUCUGACUCUCAGAUGGUUUUCCUCACUACUUCUUGGAUCAAUAUUCUAGUCUAAAACAGAAUGUGACCUGGCUGGGAAGAAUGAAUUCUGGGCCGAGGGCCAGGAGAGGCAAGUUGGAGUCUGGACUCUGACAUUACUGAUAUGGGUGACCUGUGACAAUUCACUUCCAAUCCUAGGACCUCGAGUUUCUACUGUGCAAAAUGAGAGGAGAUGGAGCAGGGCAACCUUUAAGACCCCUUUAAGCUGUAAGCUUGCAGUGGAAGAAAGGAUGGAUUUUGUCAUCAUAUAGCCUAAUGUUGAAACCCUGGCUCUGCUCCUUCUGAGAUGAUUCUUAGCCUCUCUGAGAUAAUAAUAAUAAUAGAACCUUAAAGGUUAAAUGAGAAUUAAAUGUACGAAUUAAAUGAGAUAUUGAAUUCCAGGGGUCUCAACCCUGUAUGCAUAUUAAAAUCACCUGGAAUGUUUUUCAAAAAUACCAAUGCCCAUAACUUCACCUCCAGAGAUAUUAAUUGUCUAAAGUAAUAUCCGAGUGCUAGCAUUUUAACAGUGAGCUCCUCAGUUAUUUCUGAGCCAUACUUAAGGCCUAAUUUGAGGUGGUAGAGCUUAUAUGUAGCUGGAGUUUCGUAAGUAUUUGGUGACUCAGUGGAUAUUCUAAAAAUCAUUUGUGUCAUCAACUUUUUGCAAACCUUGCUCUCUGGCCCUUAGUUAAAUAUGCCAAAACCCAGCUACAGGCUUGCCAAAUACAAACCCCCACUGAUCCUUUCUUCCUUCUUCCCUGCUCCCUCAGCCUUCCCCAGUCCUCACACUCCUCCAUUGCCACAUCCCUCCUGUUCAUGCCUCCUUCCACUCCCACCCUUGCCUGCUCUGCUUUGGACCAUAGUUAUUGCACUUCUGAGUUAUUUCCUUAGAAAGAACCUAUUUCAUCACCUUCCUACUUCUAGUAUUCAACUGGCACACCCCCUUCUCAGACAAAUCAGUAAAACGUAGUGAUGAUGAGAGUAGAGUCUGUAGCCAGACAAUCCGGAUUCUAAUCCCACACUGAGCUGUGUGACCUGGGAUGAUUUUCAUGACCUCUCUGUACUUCAGUUCCCUCUUAUGUGUAUGGGAAUCCCCCAUCAUCCCAGUCUUUGAAAUCAGUUAUUCUCCCCCACUUGACCCUCCUUUACAGUGUUACCGUGAAUUCAGGGAAGAAAAAAAAAUUGAGAUUUCAAGUACUGAGCAUAGUACUGAAUGCUUUCCAUACCUUAUGUAAUUUCAUCUCCACAAAACUAAGCAAGGUAGAUGUCUGUUUUAUAGAUGAUGCAAGUGAGGCACAGACAAGUGAGGUAGUCUGCCCACUCUCAGAUGGUGAGUGGAGGUAGAGCUAGGGUCCUGCCCUGGGCUGACUCAGAGCCCCGCUGCAUGUGUGCCCCUGACUGAUGAAGACUAUUCCUUUGGGGACAUUUUUCUGCUCUGAUUAACCUCACAGCUCUGGGAGUGAUGCUUAUAGAUGGGGAGGAAGGAGAGAAGGAGACACCCACCCACAGAAUCAUAAUCAACCAUCCAAUGGGUGACAGAUAUCCAAUGAGAGGAUAUAUUUGUGCCUUUUUGUUUUUAAAGGAAAGGCAGUAGGAGGGAAUAGUGCACUGAAGUAACCAGCCUAAGAUUUGCCAACAAAUUUGUGAAGAAUUAAAUGGAGUAACAUUCAUUCGUUUGUGUAUCCCUUUGUAGUGAUAGAAAAGAAAAACAGUCAAUUCCCAAUGAACUCUGAAGUUCAUUGAGCAUAAUUCAGUAGGUGUUUACUAAAUCGCACCUCCCCACCCCUCUGCCUUCCUCCUGACCACUUCAUUUCUAGUUGUGCCAAGUUCCACUGGCCAGUGCCUGCAUGUCUCUGCUGAGGACUAUCUCUGACUGCAGCAGCAUGCUAUGCCUGUCCCAGUGGUGGGCCUGCAAUCUAGGGUAUUAAGGCCACCCAGAAGCACAUUUCCCGGAUGGCUGACAGGUGUUGGUGAGUAACCACACCAGCUCCCUCGCCCUGUGGAGGGAAGACUCUGCAGUGUGUAUCCUGCACUCCCAGGGCCUUCUCAGUGGGGUUAAGCUCCAGUUGCCCACAAGUCGUAGCUGGGUUUUAAAUGCAUCAGCCCUUGGCUGCCUUUCCUUCCCCCUCCCAUGCUCCUGUUCCCCUGUGGGUGUUUCCCGAGUUCCUUUCCCAGUUGAACUACUUGCCCUUGCUCAGAGUAGCUUCUGGAAGAACUCAAAUGUAAACACUUCCUCAGAACUGUGCAAGGUGGUAGGAAAGCAGAUGGAAAAGAUAUUCUCCUUAAAGAGCUCAUGAGCUGGAGAGAAAAUGCAUGAAUGCAGUUUUGGAUGGUACAAGUCACCGCUAAGUGACCUGGAGACAGCACAAGGGCAGGUCAGGCUAAAUCUGCUCUUCGGGUGGUAGGAGAAGGCAGGGAUUUCAGUUUUACAGAAAAAAUAAAUAUUCAAAGGUAGGCAGAGUGUGUGACCACAUAUUUUCUUUCCUGAGAAAGGAGAAAAGCACUUUGCUAUCACAAACUGGGUCUGGAGAAUUGUUUUGUCUGGGAGCAGGUGGAACUGAUGAAAUCUCAGAGAGGCCAGAGCAGAGUGGACAAGGCAGCCGCCUCUCAAUCAAGCCCUGGGUGAGGAGGGAGGGUCCCCAGGUCGUGGGGAGCAGGGGGAGGCUGACGCUACUUAGAAAGCAAGGAAGUAUGGCCCUCGGAUGGGUGUUCCUUUCCUUGCCUCCUUGAGUGCCCUUCACAGACACACCCCUGUACCCGCCCCUAGCCUGCCCUGACAUCUGUCUGCAAAGCUGUUCUGUGUUGCUGACUGUCUCUUGCUCAAGGUGAAUUCUGAGUUUGGGUCAACGACUCCUGCAAGCCUCUGGCUCUAGCAGGCCUCCUGACCUCACCCACCCAGGGCCUCCUCUUGCUCUGGCCCAUCUGAAUGGGUCUGAAGCUGAGGCUUCUUUGGCUGCCCCCAAACUGCAGUUGCCCCUGCAGCUGGAUGUGUGGUCUUGAUUUUGUACCCCAGGGAGAACUGUGUGUUUAUAGCCUGCCAUUUCUGUGAGUUAAUUCCAGAGGCAAUUACUGUAUUGUCUGCCCUUGCCACAGCCCCUCAAUGGAGCAGCUCAUAGACCAUUUGAUCCCGUUCUUUAUCCAAUUGCUAAUUGGGCCAGAGGUGAAUACCUAAUCCAAGCCCAGAAGUGUGUGUCAUAUUUAAAAAGUUGGGCUGAGCCAAUUGAUUUUUCUCUCCAAGCUUUGGAAUUGGAAACUGAAAGAGACUGCUGCUAGUGUGUAGCACGAAGGUUAUGUAGACCUGGAGUUGGAGGACUUGGGGGUCUUGUACAAGCUGAUGUGCAAGCAGGAGAAAGCAGGUGUGAGAGAGAGCAGGGGGCGUGGAGCAGACCCACGGGGAAAAGGAGAGGCCGGGCAGGCCUGGGAGCCAGAGGCCAGUUCUCCAAUUCCUGAGGCCUGGCUCUCCUCAGUUUUCUGUCACAGGUUCUGUGAGAUCUCUGUGAAGCCCUACAAUAAAUGCCUCCUAUUGAAGCUAGCUCAAGGUGGUGGAGGUUCUUCUCCAUACAGCCAAGAAUCUUGGUGGAAACAGAACCCAAGGUAGCUGCAGCCCUUGGAGAGCACCCGAGCAUAGUGAGCAGUGUGUCUGCAGAGGCAAGGAUGGCAUCGCCAGCACACCAGGGAGGCUGACUCCAGAGGGGCUUGUUUCACAAAGCCUUUGCAGCACCCCUUGGGUCACGGGCCACCAGGCACAGCGAGAUUCAAAAAGAGAGGGAUGUCAGGGGCAGAAUUCCAGUAAUUAGUUGAGAUUGCUAUAGAUAGAUAGGCUGAUAGGAGUGAGGGAGAUCCUUUCAGGUUGGGACAGUAUGAGGAAAUUCCUACUCACAAGUAGGAAUACAGUCAUUCACCAUUGUUAGUGCUGUUCUCAAUUAUAAUUAUUAUAUGAGCUUACAUGCAGUCAAGCCGACUUCCUCUCCCUGGGAAAACAUGUAUAGAUUAGUGACACUACCAUCACUUGCAGGGCACAGAGGAGCCUGUCAGCCCCAAAACUCCCUGUGCCCCUUUGCUUUGUAAUCCCACUCCCCCACCUCUGGUGCCUGGUGAUUACUGACUGUCCUCUCUCACUGUGUUUUACCUUUUCCAGAAGGUUGCAUAAAUGGAGUCAUGCACUGUGUCAUCUUCUGAGAUGGUCUUUUCACUCAGUGUGAUGCCUUUGAGAUUCAUCCAUAUUGUUUAUUGUUGUUGUUAUUGCUAAAUAGUAUCCCUUUGUAUGGAUAAACUGCAAUCUGUUUAUCCACUCAACAUUGUUUCCAGUGUUUGGUAAUUAGGAAAAGAGAAGUUAUACUUUUUAUGUACGGGAUUUUGUGUGAACAUACUUUUUCAUUUUCUCACAUUGAAUACCUAGGAACCGGACUGCUGAGUUAUACGGUGAGUGUCGGUUUAGCUUUGUAUGAAACUGCAGGCUUUUUGUAGAGUGGCUACAUGAUUUCACAUCUCCACCAGCAGUGAAUGAAAGUUCCAGCUGACCCACAUCAUCAGGAACACUUGACUUUGUCUACUUUUUUCUUAGCCAUUUUGAUAGGGUUACAGUGGUAUCUCUAUCUCAUUGUGGUUUAAAUUUGCAUUUUCCUAGAAGCUGAUAAUGUCAUCUUUUUAUGUGCAUAUUUGCCAUAUGAAUAAUUUCUUUGGUGAUGUGUCUCAUUUUUUUUUGCCCUUUAAGAAAAAUGGAUGCUUUGCUUCAUACUGUUGAGAUUUGAGCUUCUGUAUAUUUUUCUGAAUGUAAGUCUUGUGUUGAGUAUGUGAGUUGCAAGUAUUUUCUUCCAGUCUUGUCUUUUGUUUUCUGUUGCUCCAUUUAUUGUUCACUGUCUCUCCCUCUGUUUAUCCUUGGUAAUUUUUUCUAUCCUGAUGUUUACUAAAGCCUCUCUAGCUUUCUUAUGAUCGGUAUUUGUAUAGUAUGUCUCUUCUUAUUCUUUAUCUUUUAAAAUAUACUUUUUAUUUUGGAAUAAUUUUGUGUAUUCAGAGAGCUCUCCUAUAUCCUUCACCCAUUUCCCUCUGAUGUUAACAUCUUACAUUAUUAUGAUAUGUUUGUCAAAACUAAGAAAUUAACACUGGCACAAUACUAUGAACCAAUACAGACUUUAAUUUGGAUACACCAAUUUCUUCACUAAAGAUUUUUUUUGUCCUCUAGGAUCCAAUUCAGGAUUUCUUAUUACAUGUAGUUAUCAUGUGUCAGGGAUGGGCUCAUUGGCCCACACCUGUAACCCCAGCACACUGGUGGACUAAGGUGGGAGGAUCACUUGAGCCCAGGAGGUCACGAUCAGCCUGGGCAAGCAGUGAGACACUGAUUCUACGAAAAAUAAAAAUAAAAAAAUUAGCUGGGUGUGUGGCACAUGCCUGCAGUCCCCACUACUUUGGAGGCUAAUGUGGGAGGAUUGCUUGAGUCUAGGAGGCUGAAGCUGCAGUGAGUCGUGAUUGUGCCAUGGCAUUCCACCCUGAGUGACAGAGCAAAAUCACAUCCCUAAAAAAGUAAAUAAAUGAAAAUUUUAAAAAUUAGAAAGUUGUUAUCUCCUCUGAUUUCUAACACUUUCUCUGGCUUUCCUUGUUUUUCCUGACUUCGGCAAUUUUGGUGAGUACUGGUCAGGUAUUUUGUAAAAUCUCCCUCAAUCUGGGUUGUCUGACACUUUCUUAUGAUAGACUAGGGUUGCACAGGUAAAGUGCCCUCCUCAUUGUAUCAUCUCAGGGGAUACUGGAUACCAACAUAACUGCUGACAUUAACCUUGAUCACUUGGUUACAGACUUGUCUGCCACAUUUCUCUUCUGUUAAGUUACUGUUUUAUGUUUCCGUUCUGUAUUCUGUUUUUUGGAAGUGAGUCACUAAAUCCAGCCCACACUUGGGGGUGGGGGAAGGAAAUUGAGCUCCACCUCCCAGAGUGGGAAGCCACUCCUCCUACCAGGAUUAGAAGACUUUUCCUAGAGCUUCUAUUUUCACCCAGUGCAUGGUUCUAGAUUUCAGGCCACCUUUGAGUCAAGGGCGCAAUGGGGGAAUCCUGGAGGAAAAAUCAACAGGAAACUCACCAACAGUCUGCUGUUACAUGUUGCCUUUGCAGAUUCACCCACUAUCAUUUGCUUUUUCGCUGCUCUAUGAUUUCUUUGCAGGGUUUUCAGUUGCUUUUAGUAGGAGCAAUACAGAGUGGAGGGUGCAUAUACCAUCUUGAUUGGAACCAGAAACUCUUCAUUUAUUUUUUAUUCUCCAAUUACAUCACUUACUCCCAUUCGCUCAUUCACAUAGCCCUCAUCCUUGUAUGCAUUGUUAUAUAUUUGCUCAUAAAAUCAUAUAUAUGUCAAUCAAUACCCCUAAUUUGACCACUUAAUCAGGUGUUAUGCUAGUCACUGCAGAUACAGACAUGAAAUAUAGUUCCUAUCUCAAAAAAAAUUUUGGACUAGAAGGAAAACAGAUGAAUUAUUAGAUAUAAAUACAGUGGAAUGGCUGCUACGCUAUAAGGACCAACUACCUUAAAUGAGGAGAUCUGUAAGAAAACAGCCUGGCUUCAGAAGUUGUUCCUUUUGGGGACAAUUCUAUGUGGGGUAGGCAAACAUUUCACUUUGGGAGGACAGCAUGCACUGAGGCACUGGAUCAGGACAUCAAGGGGGCAUGUUUGAAGAAGUGGUGUCUUACCACCAACCUAGGCAUUCCUGAGAUUUCAGGACAGGGGUGUGACUGAAAACAACCCUAGAGUAGAGCACAAGGACUCCUCCAAGGCCAUCCUGAGUUUAGAAAAUUUACAUUUGGUGGUUGGUCUCUCCUAUCCUAUUCUCACCCAUCAUGGGAGGUUCCAUCUACUUGGUUUUCUAUUAUUUGCAAUAGUGUAGGCUUUGUUUCUAAGACUCUGGCCAGUUUUUCAGAGGAGAUGCACAGCAUCUAUAAAGGGUAGAAAGGCAGCAGAGCCUGACUUUGCAGCUGCAUCCAAAAAAGGGUGUGGGUAACCUGGCUACCACCCAUGUUCAAGUCCAAGAGGACCCAAGUCCUGAGAUAGACCAGCUAUCCCCAUCUGUCUCUUUUCUACUCGAUUCCAACCCCUGGGGGGCUAAGAUUCAUUCCCAUGAUAUGUGCAGGUCCUGCAGUCUCUCUGGUCCUUCCUGUAUGCUUGGCCAAUUCAUUCAUUCAUGCACUCAUGGAUGUAUCCAAAUGUAUUCCACUCGUCUUCUAUGCCAGACCUUAGUUUGAUCAUCCCUUUCCUAUGAAAAUUUUGUUUUGUCUUCUAUGCCAUUUCCAUUUUCUUCUACCUCUAUAACCAUUGCUUCCUCUUUCUUUUGGUAGAUUCUAUUUCUUUCUCUACUCUAGAAACAUGGAUGGAUCACCUUUGAACUGUUCUCAUAAUCUGCAGUAUUCCCACAUUCUUUACCCUGCUGUCCUCAUCGCUGAGGCAGCUGUGCAGUCCAGUGCUGAGAUAGGGAAGGAAUGCAGGAGUGUUACUCAGUCACUUAGUCUGCCUGCCUGAUCCUCUAUUCUAGUAGCUGGGAUUUCCCCCUUAUUUCCAAGACAUCAAUGGGAUCCCUAGUUAUAGUCAUUUCUUGUGCUUGUGCUCCCUGUCCCAAAAUUUCUCCCUUGAAAAUGUGUUGGGCCCUUGCUGCUCCUAGCCUUUUGUUUCCUCAUAUAAUUGGAGCUCCUUCAUUUGCAAACUCAACACCAGGGCCAGCCCCACCUCUUGGAGCACAGAUCUGGUUCAGCCCUCAUUGCAUGCUUCAGUUUAAAGAGAAAAGCAUGAACUUGGGGUCAGAUUCAUCUGUGCUGCAAUCCAAAAUUGUGUGGGGCAAGUUGUGCAACUCUUUGAUCUCAGUUUUCUCAUUGUAAAAUUCAUCACGGGCAAAAAUUCUGUCAUCAACCUUGUUAACAAAACCCUAUUUUUAUAUAGAUAUCAAGUAAUCACAAACUUGAUAUUGGGAGGAGGUUGAAGCCCCCAGUGGGUUGAUCUUGAUCCAAGCCAAUCAUGGUAAUUCCUUUCCUUUGCCAACAACUGCUUUAGGAAUGUGCAUGUGUUGAAAUUCUGGCCAAUGAGGCAUGAGCCGUAUGUUUGCUGGGAGACAUAGGGAAAAUAUUUCUGCAAAAGAAAAAGGAGCCUCAGGGGAAGAAACACAUACUUUUCUGCUCCAGAAUGUUGUUAUCUUAUGUGAUGCCCAGAGCUGUAGUAGCCAUUGCAUGAGGCUGCCUGUGGCAGACCAAAAGGACGUGCCAUAGCCCCAGGGGAGUGGCAGGGAAGAAUAAUGAGAAAACCUAGGUCUGGAUAACAUUGUUAAGUCCCUUACCCCUGAAACUCUGCCUCCUCCAGUCUUCUUAUUGCACAAGACCUUUUUUGUUUGUUUUUAAGUCAUUUUCAGUUGAGUUAAUGCUACUCACAGCCCAAACAAUGUUCAAAUAAGAGACUUUCUGCUCAUCUUUUAGGUUUCAGUCCAAAUGUCAUCUCCUCAAGAAAGUCUUCCCUGAUUGUCCAUCCGAAGUCAUAUUGUUCUGUCAUACAUUUGCCAUCAACACUAGGUAUCUUUCCUUCUUUUCUUUCAUAGCACUUAUGAGCAUUUGUUUAUUUGGUUAUUCACACUCUCUCUCACUAAUCUACAAUCGCUGGGGAGGCUGGCAGUGUUUUAUUUUUUAUUUUGUUUAUUUAUUUAUUGCUGACCACUGUGUCUCUUGUGGCUAGAAUAGCGCCCAACAUAUAAUAGAUUCAUAAUAUUUGUUAAAUAAAAAAAUGAAAAUGAAUACAUGAAUAUCAGUAGAAGAAAACCUGGUACAAAGCAGGAAAGUUUGUCUUUGUGUCCUUUCUGAGACUGAAAGUUGAUCAGCUCUUUCCUUUUUUUAUCUUGACAAAUGACUUUGUACCCAAUCAUUGGCUGAUAUAUUUCAAAACAACUUUAAAUUUACUUUGAAAUGCACCAUUAUUUCAUCCCCUCAGGAGCCGGUGCUAUUCCCGCCACCCCUUGCUACUAUUCUUUUAGCAUUCAGGACAGCCAAGCAAACCCCUUCUUUGAUUUUUCUUCCUCUGCAGGCUCUAGGUGACUGAUUAGUCAUUACUUGUGAAUAAUGGCCAGGGAGGUUGCUGAGCCAUGGAGGAAUCUGGCCACCUCGCCACUGAGCACUCAGCUCUCAGCUAGUAAGAUAACAGCAAUUUUGCCACCAACACCAUCCUAAUAGGAUGUCCAAAGAGUUUCCUUCCACUGUUCAGUAGGGAUCAUGGGGAUCAUGAACGGAAGGUGAUAUGAGGUUUUAGGGAAGAAUAAACUGGAACAGCUUGUCAUCCCUCAGGAAUAUUUUGAAAACAAGUCAGCACACGAUGGUAAUUUAUUUUUAUGAUGCAUUAGUUUGCCUUGGAGGGAGAAAUUAUGGGAGUUUGGAGAGUUAGAGCUUACAGGGAGAGAGGCAGAGCUUAUCUUUAGUUCUCUCUUAUCCAUUGACAAGGAACAACAAGGAUGGCAUUAGUAACAAUAAUAAUUAUUACAGGCUCAAAGGAAAUAGAGUUGGCAGAGAGUACACAUGGUUAGUUAUCUAGUCCGCCAUUUCUCAGAAGAUGUUUAAGAGAGCACAAGUCUCUCAAAUGCCCUUUGCUAAAAGGGUUCAUGGUUAAAUUACUGUUCUUGGAGAACAGCGUGUACUUACUGGUCCACCACCCCACCCCCAGCCCUUUUGACUGUAUUUUGCUCAGUAAAUAAGAAGGUCCCUGCAUUAUAAAUAAAUCAAUUGACUUUGUCUAACCCAGUGUUCUGGUGUUCAUUUCACCAUGGAAACCCUUAUUUUAAAAAUUAAUAUUAAAGCUUCUGGAAGGAAGAUAUUUUAGGAAAUGCUGAUGUGAGCAAAGGUGGUUACUAGGUAUUCUUAUCUAAUAUUUACUGAGAAAUUUAUUCAUUCAUUUAUUCAUUAGAGAAAGAUAUAUUGAGAGACUACUUUGUAUGAUGUCAUGGGCUGGGAGCAAAGGAUACAGAUUUGGCCAAUGCCUACAUGAAGCUAAUAGUCUAGUGGACAAGACAAAAUCAAUUUCUCGAUUAAUUUAUUUAUUAUUACCGUGGUGAGCCUAUAAUGAGGAGCAUCAGAUAUAUAUAAAUUGAAAUAAUGAUAGAAAAGAGAUGUUUAUGGGUAACCAGGGAAGCCGUCCUGGUUUGUUCAGGACUGGGGAUAUCCUUUGAUGGGUGACUUUCAGUUCUAAAAUUGAGACAGUCCUGGGCAAAUCAGAAUGGUUGCUUAUCCUAAUAGACCAUGAUUUCUGGGGUGCCAUCUGAAAACCUUAUUAUGGCCGAGAGAUCUCUGCCAUGCUGGAGACCUGUUUUCUGGGAUUGCUUCACCUCCCUGAGCGUGACUUUCUGUUUCUGAGCAAUGGAGGUGAUGAUGUCUCCUUUCUCUGUUUAUUUAUUUAUUUUUUUGAGAUAGAGUCUCGUUCUGUCACCCAGGCUGGAGUGCAGUGGUACAAUCUCGGCUCAUUGCAUCCCUCCGCCUCCCCAGUUCAAGUGAUUCUCCUGUCUCAGCCUCUCUAGUAGCUGGAACUACAGCUAUGCACCACCAAGCCCAGCUAAUUUUUUUGUAUUUUUGGUAGAGAUGGGGUUUCACUGUGUUAGCCAAGACAGUCUUGAUCUCUUGACCUCAUGAUCCAGCCACCUCAACCUCCCAAAGUGCUGGGAUUACAAGCGAGGGCCACCACGCCCGGCCUCUAUUCUUAUGGUUUUUUGGGAAUAACAAGUGGAGUGAUUCCUGUGGAAAGCCUUUGCCAGAUAUAACAUGCUUCCUAAGUACAAGGGGUGAGUAUUCCUUUAGGGAAACUGUAGUUUGUCACUCCCUGAAGGAAAGUCCCUAUUUCUCCAGGAGAGGUUUUUCAGAGAGCAUCUCUUGCCACACAUUCAGGUUUCUAAAUCCUCCAGCAAGAAGCAUUUUUCACAGAUGCAAGAACAGGAGCGCCUGCACAAGUUUACUAUGGGAGGUGUAAAUCACGGAGGGGAGCCAGUGGGGUACUUCAGGACAGCACUUCCUCUAGGCCAGAGAAGGCCUCAGCCCAAGAGCAGCUUCCUGCUGGUGCUGGUGGGGCCAGAGGGCAGUGCCCGGUCUCUGCAGAACCAAAGAGCAGGCUUGCAGUGGGCUUGUAUACUCAGGCGUGUCUCAUGACCUGCUGGAGUUUCAAUGUCUUCAUCUGUAAGGUGGGAAUAUUGAUAUUUAUUUCCUCCAAUUAUUGGGAACUUAAUACUACUGCUAGUAAUAUAGUCAGAAUUUAAUGAAUUUACCAUGCACAAGAAAUUAUGCCAUGUGUUUACAUUGAAUCACUACAAAAAGUAGAUUUGAUUUUCUUCCAUCUGACGAGUGUAAACAAUAGGGCUUAGAGAAGUUAAGAGGCUUGCCAAGGUAGGGUGGCCAACGGUCAUAGUUUGCCCAGAACCAAAAGUCCCAUAUUGUGGGCGAUCCCUUAGCCCCAGGGAACCUGAGAUGGUUGAUCAAGCUAGAAAUUCAUACAGUUAGCAAGUAGUGGAGCUGAUAUACAUUUGAGGUAGAAGAUUACUUGUUGAAAUUGUAACCAACAACCAACAACAAUUAUUAUUGCCAUUUUAUUAAUAUGUAUUUAUCAUAUACCUAUAUAUAACAUAUACAUAAGAAGCAUCAUAUUAUUCACAUAGGAACAUUCAUUAUUUGAUGAACUGCCAUUUCAGUAUAAACAAAGUGCUUCUAGCCUUCUAAGAAAACCCCUUUCUAUUAAUAAUGCUCAUCUGACAUUAGUGCUGCUCAUCAGUAGUUAUGCUUUUCUUCUUUCUGUGCCCAGAUCCUUUGAUGUCAGGCAUGACCAGGUGAUUUGUUUUGACCAAUGAAAUGUGAGUGCAAGAGAUGUGCAUCACUUCGGGGCAGAAACCUGUAAGAACCAGGGUGCAAUUCUUUAUCUUCCUUGCAGUAAAUGCUGAUGGUGCCUCUCCCAUAUCAUUUUUGCUGGCUGAGACACACUCCUCAGCUGCUGUGAGAGUUGAGGUGCUAGCAGAUCACAGCUGUCUGUGCUCAGUAGGGUUAAGAGCACCAAAUCCAGGGUCAGACCAUCUAGUUCAAGUCCAGCUCUGACAUGAAAAGCUGUGUGCCCCUGGGCAAGUUGCUUGACAUCUCUGAGCCUUAAUUUUCCUAUCUCUGUAAGGGAGAAUUCCUACCUCAUGCUGUUAAUGUGAGGAUUAUGUGAAUAAUGCUUGUGAGACUCUUGUAACAGUUGAGCACAUAGUAAGCUCUGAGGUUGGCUAUUCUUAUUUCUCCUGCUCUACUUGUUCUCUGGUGUCAUAUGACAGUGCAUGCCAAGGUUCGUCAUAUGUUGCUCAAAAGAUAAUUUUGAUUAACAUGUGAAGAACCAAAUUCCAGAGAUGCUGAGCAAUUUCUUCAGCAUCACACGAGGCUUAAUACUGGAGUUUGAAUAAGAACCAAGACAGGACAAUGAUAGUAAUGACAACAAGUGAGCAAUUACUAUUCACUAGGCACUGAGCUGGACAUUAUUAUUAUCUUCAUUUUAUAGAUGUGGAAAUAGAGGCAAAAAAAGGUGAAAUAAAGUUUUACAGUUAGUAGGUAAUGGCAGAAUUAGAAAAAAUAGAAAUUUGAUAUUUUAGGAUGAACUAUUAUUUAGCAACAAAAAUGGGAACUGUAAUUACUAUGUUUAAACAAUGUGCUGUUGAUUAGUUUCUUUUUAGAAGAGUAAACAUGAUUGCUAAUUUAUAUACACAUGUAUUACAUACAAUGUACACUAUUUUAUACUUUGCUCUUUAUAAAGUGACCUUUUAAUUUUAAGAAUACCUACAUUUACAGAAAGGUUGCAAAGAUAGUACAGGAGUUCCCACCUACCCUCUGCCUGACUUUCUCCAAGAUUAAUGUCUUAUAUUACAAGGGUACACUUGUCAAAACCAUGAAAUUAACAUUGUUACAUUACUAUUAACUAAAAUCCAUACCUUAUUUGGAUUUCACCGGUUUUUCUACUAAUGCUCUUUGUCUAUUCCAGGGUCUCGUCCAAAGAGUACCAAAUACUAAUUGAACAAAAAGCCUUGGUGAUGAUCUAAAUGUUUGUUUGCUAAUAGAAUAAAGAUUUGAUAUUAGGGCAGUAUGACUAUAGCUGAUAUUUUUCCUAUGUUUAAAGCUUUAACACUCUUGUUACGUUAACUAUUUAGGAGAUGUUAUUACUGGAAGCCUCCUACACUGUGAGAGGCUGGUGUUGUCCAACUCAAACCAAGUUGUGGACUAGAAGGGUCCUUAAAUUAUCUACUGGACCCAUGGCAUGAGAGAAAAGCAUGUGUGAGUAUGUGUUUAGUAGAGCAGGUGAUGGGGGAGCUGAUCCACCAUUUGUCACUAAGGAGGAGCAGGAAGAGGCAGGGGCUGGAUGUACCUAAAUUUUGCCCUGUAGGUCUGUAAUCCAGUAAUCGGUAAAUCGGGAAGUGACUUCAAAGAUUUCUUCAAAAUUGGCUUCUACUGUUUUUAGAACAAACAUUAAUUAAGCACCUACAGUUUGACAGGCUCUCUGUUGGCUGCUAACAUAUACUGUCUCCUAGAAUCCUCAAACUAAGAUAUCUAUAUUACUUUUUUAUUUUAUUUUAUUUAUUUUUGAGACAGGGUCUCAACUCUCUUGCCCAGGCUGGAGCGCAGUGGCAUGAACACAGCUUACUGCAGCCUCAACCUCCUGGGCUACAGUGAUCCUCCUGUCUCAGCCUCCCAAAGUGUUGGGAUUACAGGAGUGAGACACAAUUCCAGGCCCAUAUUUCCAUUUUAAAGAUCAAAGAGAGGUCAGAAAGGAUAGGUGACUUGCCCAAAGACGCACAGCUUGUCAGUGACAAAACAAGGAUUAAAACCUGGGUUUUUCUGAGCUUAUUAUUUUUUUUAAUAUUCCAAAUUAUACUCCUUUGACAUCUCAAAAAAAGUCUUUUUGGAAUUUGACAUCAAAGGGACGUCCUAGCAUUCUACUGGGUAUUUGACUGAGAUGCCUGAAGGGAUACCUAGAGAAAGAAUAAGAAGGUUUCAAGAGGCACAGUGAAGUUUUGCAGGAGGAUGUUUGUUUGCAGAGCUGAUGUAGAUUUGAGUCUCUCGCUGCUCUCUCCCUCAGCUGAGCAAUAAUAAGAAAUCUUGUGUCAGCCCUUGGUUAAAACCAGCAUUCUGGAGGCUUUGGAGGGGGGCCAGCAGGUGCAUGAAUGAGCAAGCAGGGCCCAGUCAGCCUCCAGGUCCAUCCAGGGGUUCCCUUGGGACUGGCCAAGUUGAGUUUCCUGGGUCAGACACUUGGGAAACCUCCAACAUGGGUUUGCGGGUUCACACAUGCAUACAUGCACAUGCAUGCACAUUCACACACAUGUACAUGCACACACAUGCACAAUAAAUAAAGUAGAAUAAAAAAGCUGGAGGCACCCCAGUGUGCCCUAUUUACAAACCGCUUAGUUCCUUCCGGGUGUUAUUUGAUUUUCUCCUUCACUGAGAAAUGCGGAGACAUCAGAAUGAGUGAUGUGCCAGAGAGAGGCCUCCCGACCAUCCCUCAGCCUCCCUCACCCCCUCGGUCUCUUUCAUGUGACAGGAUGCCCUCAAUUACUCUCUCUGGGGGGGUCCCAGUCAGAAAGAAGAUGGAGCCAACCAUCUGUUACCGACUCCAGUGAGCAAUUUAAUUUCCUCUUGUUCCCAAUGAGGAGGAUUUUGUAAGUACAUAAAUUACCGUCAGUCCUGCUUAAUCAGGAACUGGCCAUCUAAAGGGGUGGAGACAGUCAAGCCAGAGACACCCACUGACCGGGACCUACCAGGAGGACAUCUUGCACGUUAGUAGAAAAACCAUAUGAGAGAAAUGCCAGACACAGAAACUUCCUUAGAGAUCAUCCAAUCUGAUACCUCUUUUAUAACUGAGGAAAUCAGAGCCAGAAAAACAACCUAUCUAGCUGGGCAAGGCAGAAUUAGGACUUGAACGAAAGAGCCCCAAUUCCUAAAUUCACUCUUUCCAACACAACACAAGGGUAGAAUGAAUGACUUUAUUACUUGACCUUGGGUUUAAUCUCUAGAGGUAGAAUAAGAAAACAAUAGUCAUGAUGGCAAUUGACAACCGCAAGAG
RNA transcript from Callithrix jacchus (white-tufted-ear marmoset), 25993 nucleotides. It is a transcript of the gene named OMA1 zinc metallopeptidase, with no coding region annotated. The record is from RefSeq and is a predicted model, not a curated record. Lineage: Eukaryota; Metazoa; Chordata; Mammalia; Primates; Cebidae.